ACAUGAAANUCNAGCCACCAUCUUCGGUUCCUAGCGGCGGACGGGUGAGUAACACGUGAGCCACCUACCUCACAGUGGGGGAUUGCCUUCCGAAAGGAAGAUUAAUCCCCCUUAACACAAAGGAAACGCCUGUUUCUUUUGCCAAANAAUUUCNNUGUGAGAUGGGCCCGCGGCCUAUUAUCUUGNUGGUGAAGUCACNGCUCCNCGGUGACACGAUGCCUCCCCNACCUGAGAGGGUUAUCCGCCCCAUUGGAACUGAGACGCG
This 265-nucleotide ribosomal RNA is filed under the name uncultured bacterium. Its description in RNAcentral is "partial 16S ribosomal RNA". It matches the Rfam family "Bacterial small subunit ribosomal RNA", at positions 53 to 328 of the family's 1533-position model. The record is from RNAcentral.